RNAcentral lists this non-coding RNA (100 nucleotides) under chicken gut metagenome. The record is from RNAcentral.
GCGGAGGGCCCGCCGGAACCGCCAUACAGGUGGAGGUUCCAAACCACCCUAAGGUGCUGUGGACAAAAGCCAUGGUAUUGAGCGUUAGGGAAACGCUGAU